GAUGAACGCUGGCGGCGUGCCUAAUACAUGCAAGUCGAGCGAACAGACGAGGAGCUUGCUCCUCUGACGUUAGCGGCGGACGGGUGAGUAACACGUGGAUAACCUACCUAUAAGACUGGGAUAACUUCGGGAAACCGGAGCUAAUACCGGAUAAUAUAUUGAACCGCAUGGUUCAAUAGUUAAAGACGGUUUUGCUGUCACUUAUAGAUGGAUCCGCGCCGCAUUAGCUAGUUGGUAAGGUAACGGCUUACCAAGGCAACGAUGCGUAGCCGACCUGAGAGGGUGUUCGGCCACACUGGAACUGAGACACGGUCCAGACUCCUACGAGAGGCAGCAGUAGGGAAUCUGCCGCAGUGGGCGAAAGCCUGACGGAGCAACGCCGCGUGAGUGAUGAAGGUCUUCGGAUCGUAAAACUCUGUUAUUAGGGAAGAACAAAUGUGUAAGUAACUAUGCACGUCUUGACGGUACCUAAUCAGAAAGCCACGGCUAACUACGUG
This 497-nucleotide ribosomal RNA is filed under the name uncultured bacterium. RNAcentral's name for it is "partial 16S ribosomal RNA". It matches the Rfam family "Bacterial small subunit ribosomal RNA", at positions 28 to 507 of the family's 1533-position model. The record is from RNAcentral.